RNAcentral lists this ribosomal RNA (943 nucleotides) under Limosilactobacillus fermentum. Its description in RNAcentral is "bacterial SSU rRNA". It matches the Rfam family "Bacterial small subunit ribosomal RNA", at positions 530 to 1479 of the family's 1533-position model. Lineage: Bacteria; Bacillati; Bacillota; Bacilli; Lactobacillales; Lactobacillaceae. The record is from RNAcentral.
CCAUUUAACCGUUAUCCGGUUAUUGGGCGUAAGAGAGUGCAGGCGGUUUUCUAAGUCUGAUGUGAAAGCCUUCGGUUAAACGGAGAAGUGCAUCGGAAACUGGAUAACUUGAGUGCAGAAGAGGGUAGUGGAACUCCAUGUGUAGCGGUGGAAUGCGUAGAUAUAUGGAAGAACACCAGUGGCGAAGGCGGCUACCUGGUCUCCAACUGACGCUGAGACUCGAAAGCAUGGGUAGCGAACAGGAUUAGAUACCCUGGUAGUCCAUGCCGUAAACGAUGAGUGCUAGGUGUUGGAGGGUUUCCGCCCUUCAGUGCCGGAGCUAACGCAUUAAGCACUCCGCCUGGGGAGUACGACCGCAAGGUUGAAACUCAAAGGAAUUGACGGGGGCCCGCACAAGCGGUGGAGCAUGUGGUUUAAUUCGAAGCUACGCGAAGAACCUUACCAGGUCUUGACAUCUUGCGCCAACCCUAGAGAUAGGGCGUUUCCUUCGGGAACGCAAUGACAGGUGGUGCAUGGUCGUCGUCAGCUCGUGUCGUGAGAUGUUGGGUUAAGUCCCGCAACGAGCGCAACCCUUGUUACUAGUUGCCAGCAUUAAGUUGGGCACUCUAGUGAGACUGCCGGUGACAAACCGGAGGAAGGUGGGGACGACGUCAGAUCAUCAUGCCCCUUAUGACCUGGGCUACACACGUGCUACAAUGGACGGUACAACGAGUCGCGAACUCGCGAGGGCAAGCAAAUCUCUUAAAACCGUUCUCAGUUCGGACUGCAGGCUGCAACUCGCCUGCACGAAGUCGGAAUCGCUAGUAAUCGCGGAUCAGCAUGCCGCGGUGAAUACGUUCCCGGGCCUUGUACACACCGCCCGUCACACCAUGAGAGUUUGUAACACCCAAAGUCGGUGGGGUAACCUUUUAGGAGCCAGCCGCCCUAAGGGAACAGGAAUGGG